RNAcentral lists this unclassified non-coding RNA (421 nucleotides) under fungal sp. RNAcentral describes it as "partial internal transcribed spacer region". The stretch from base 1 to 46 matches the Rfam family "Eukaryotic small subunit ribosomal RNA", at positions 1786 to 1831 of the family's 1831-position model. Lineage: Eukaryota; Fungi. The record is from RNAcentral.
AAGUCGUAACAAGGUUUCCGUAGGUGAACCUGCGGAAGGAUCAUUAACACGUAUCCACGUUUAUCCACCCAUGCGAACUUGUUUUCACCCCCUUCUCCCUUCUAUUGAAACAUGAAUUGAGUUUACUAAUGAGAGAUUUUGAUUGGGAUGCGUAUUUCUAUGCAUCGGUCUCUUGUUGGUCCUUUGGUCAAACAAAGCAAUUGUAGUUUUUAUAUGGAAGGCAAACCCUUCUUGCGGUUUUGAUCUCCAUUCAAGAUCGAGGCUGUAGGAUCCCACUCAUAUUUUAUUCACCCAUUUAACCACCCUUUUUGCUAGUUGACUUUUUUAAUUUGUGAUACGAAGCAAUUUGUUUCACACGUUUAUAAUAUAUUAUUUGAACGUUAAAAUCAUACAACUCUUAGCAAUGGAUAUCUAGGUUCUC